RNAcentral lists this small RNA (58 nucleotides) under Caenorhabditis elegans. RNAcentral describes it as "Unclassified non-coding RNA ZK899.12". The record is from RNAcentral. Lineage: Eukaryota; Metazoa; Nematoda; Chromadorea; Rhabditida; Rhabditidae.
CGUUUCAAGUACACAACACCUCAUGGUAUUUUGAGAUUUGUUUACUUUACGGUUCCGA